ACGGGGGGGGCAAGCGUUGUUCGGAAUUACUGGGCGUAAAGGGCUCGUAGGUGGCCAACUAAGUCAGACGUGAAAUCCCUCGGCUUAACCGGGGAACUGCGUCUGAUACUGGAUGGCUUGAGUUUGGGAGAGGGACGCGGAAUUCCAGGUGUAGCGGUGAAAUGCGUAGAUAUCUGGAGGAACACCGGUGGCGAAGGCGGCGUCCUGGACCAAUACUGACACUGAUGAGCGAAAGCCAGGGGAGCAAACGGGAUUAGAUACCCCGGUAGUCCUGGCCCUAAACGAUGAAUGCUUGGUGUGGCGGGUAUCGAUCCCUGCCGUGCCGAAGCUAACGCAUUAAGCAUUCCGCCUGGGGAGUACGGUCGCAAGGCUG
This 373-nucleotide ribosomal RNA is filed under the name uncultured bacterium. Its description in RNAcentral is "bacterial SSU rRNA". It matches the Rfam family "Bacterial small subunit ribosomal RNA", at positions 525 to 896 of the family's 1533-position model. The record is from RNAcentral.